Molecule: non-coding RNA, 58 nt
Filed under: Amorphochlora amoebiformis
Lineage: Eukaryota; Cercozoa; Chlorarachniophyceae
Source: RNAcentral
UCCACCUUGGCCCCCCCCCUUAUCCGCACCUUUAUUUCCAUAGCCGUCGGGGCCUUGG